Long non-coding RNA from Glycine soja, 623 nucleotides. RefSeq lists it as uncharacterized. Lineage: Eukaryota; Viridiplantae; Streptophyta; Magnoliopsida; Fabales; Fabaceae. The record is from RefSeq and is a predicted model, not a curated record. The transcript is spliced from 3 exons.
UCGUAACAUCUAUUAUAGCAUCGGGACUCAGAUCGAGUCUUUCGUAUUAUCUUCCCUCUCUUUUAAUUCUGUUCAUGUUUUCAAUGUUCCGGGACUCUUAAAAUACAACUUGCAUCGGGACUCUUAAUGCACGCGUAUCACUCUCUAACUCACGCACAAAUUAACCAAUAUUUAUUCUCCAACAAUUUCAUUCCCAAUUCGGUUUCUUUUGACUGAUAAUGCAGGUUGACACCUAAGAUACCAUAUCUGGCAAUAUCCAUGGAAAACUUGAUAGUUGUUUAAGGAGUAAGUGCAGGCUUUUCUUUGAGUUACUUAUGAAGUUCAUCUUAUGAGUAUUUCUUUCUCAAACUUAAUUGACAACUCUUGAAAGAUGCUGAAAUUGGAGAUGCUGCAAUUGGGAAAGCUCAGUCUACAUGGAAUCUUUUUGCUUGCUUCCUCUCGGUGAAUUUUCUAUAUUUGAAUUUGCAUCUUACAACAGCAUACUUAUCUUUUAAAUGAGUUUUCCCUAUUGUUGAGGAUGAGUUUGUGCACGUUUUGGGCGAGGAAGCAGAUUGGGUCCAUAUUAUAAUCUGGACCUUAUGUCUGAAAUUCGAAUUGGGAAACAAAAUUGAUUUUCUAUACUA